This 1467-nucleotide ribosomal RNA is filed under the name Escherichia coli. Its description in RNAcentral is "bacterial SSU rRNA". It matches the Rfam family "Bacterial small subunit ribosomal RNA". The record is from RNAcentral. Lineage: Bacteria; Pseudomonadati; Pseudomonadota; Gammaproteobacteria; Enterobacterales; Enterobacteriaceae.
UUUGAUCAUGGCUCAGAUUGAACGCUGGCGGCAGGCCUAACACAUGCAAGUCGAACGGUUACAGGAAGAAGCUUGCUUCUUUGCUGACGAGUGGCGGACGGGUGAGUAAUGUCUGGGAAACUGCCUGAUGGAGAGGGAUAACUACUGGAAACGGUAGCUAAUACCGCAUAACGUCGGCAAACCAAAGAGGGGGACCUUCGGGCCUCUUGCCAUCGGAUGUGCCCAGAUGGGAUUAGCUAGUAGGUGGGGUAACGGCUCACCUAGGCGACGAUCCCUAGCUGGUCUGAGAGGAUGACCAGCCACACUGGAACUGAGACACGGUCCAGACUCCUACGGGAGGCAGCAGUGGGGAAUAUUGCACAAUGGGCGCAAGCCUGAUGCAGCCAUGCCGCGUGUAUGAAGAAGGCCUUCGGGUUGUAAAGUACUUUCAGCGGGGAGGAAGGGAGUAAAGGUUAAUACCUUUGCUCAUUGACGUUACCCCAGAAGAAGCACCGGCUAACUCCGUGCCAGCAGCCGCGGUAAUACGGAGGGUGCAAGCGUUAAUCGGAAUUACUGGGCGUAAAGCGCACGCAGGCGGUUUGUUAAGUCAGAUGUGAAAUCCCCGGGCUCAACCUGGGAACUGCAUCUGAUACUGGCAAGCUUGAGUCUCGUAGAGGGGGGUAGAAUUCCAGGUGUAGCGGUGAAAUGCGUAGAGAUCUGGAGGAAUACCGGUGGCGAAGGCGGCCCCCUGGACGAAGACUGACGCUCAGGUGCGAAAGCGUGGGGGAGCAAACAGGAUUAAUACCCUGGUAGUCCACGCCGUAAACGAUGUCGACUUGGAGGUUGUGCCCUUGAGGCGUGGCUUCCGGAGCUAACGCGUUAAGUCGACCGCCUGGGGAGUACGGCCGCAAGGUUAAAACUCAAAUGAAUUGACGGGGGCCCGCACAAGCGGUGGAGCAUGUGGUUUUAAUUCGAUGCAACCGAAGAACCUUACCUGGUCUUGACAUCCACAGAACUUUCCAGAGAUGGAUUGGUGCCUUCGGGAACUGUGAGACAGGUGCUGCAUGGCUGUCGUCAGCUCGUGUUGUGAAAUGUUGGGUUAAGUCCCGCAACGAGCGCAACCCUUAUCCUUUGUUGCCAGCGGUCCGGCCGGGAACUCAAAGGAGACUGCCAGUGAUAAACUGGAGGAAGGUGGGGAUGACGUCAAGUCAUCAUGGCCCUUACGACCAGGGCUACACACGUGCUACAAUGGCGCAUACAAAGAGAAGCGACCUCGCGAGAGCAAGCGGACCUCAUAAAGUGCGUCGUAGUCCGGAUUGGAGUCUGCAACUCGACUCCAUGAAGUCGGAAUCGCUAGUAAUCGUGGAUCAGAAUGCCACGGUGAAUACGUUCCCGGGCCUUGUACACACCGCCCGUCACACCAUGGGAGUGGGUUGCAAAAGAAGUAGGUAGCUUAACCCUCGGGAGGGCGCUUACCACUUUGUGAUU